RNAcentral lists this long non-coding RNA (454 nucleotides) under Callithrix jacchus (white-tufted-ear marmoset). RNAcentral describes it as "lncRNA (ENSCJAG00000052819.2)". Lineage: Eukaryota; Metazoa; Chordata; Mammalia; Primates; Cebidae. The record is from RNAcentral.
GAGCAAGGAACAGACCCUGGGGUGGUUAGCCCAAGAGGACUUUGCAGGGAGGAUGGUGCAUCUUUCUUUCUGAAUGUCUUUUUGGUGCAAGGACUUGACAGACAUCGUGAGCUGCCUGCUGGAAGGAACCCCACGCAGCAGGCACUGCUUCCCGACGGGAUCUGAAGGACCCUGAGCAUCCUCUCUACCCAAAAGAGACGCUUUGCACCUGCUCCCACCUUGCAUCCUCUGUGCUUUUACUCUCUCAGCCUCUCAUUUAAAAGCAUCCCCAAAGCUCCCCUUCCCCUCCCACCAUGAUUGGAAGCUUUCUGAGGCCCUAUGCAGAAGGAGAUGUGGCACCAUGCUUCUCUCUACAGCCCGCAGAACUGUGAGCCAAAUAAACCUCUUUUUUAAAUUGCAUUUUAGGUUUGGGGUACAUGUGAAGAACAUGCAAGAUAGUUGCAUAGAUACACUU